Molecule: RNA transcript, 3379 nt
Organism: Haemorhous mexicanus (house finch)
Lineage: Eukaryota; Metazoa; Chordata; Aves; Passeriformes; Fringillidae
Gene: CD46
Gene name: CD46 molecule
Exons: 13
Source: RefSeq, a predicted model, not a curated record
GCGCUGCGUCUCCGGCGGCGCCGAGAGGGAGCGGAGCGGCCGCAGCCGCGGCCCCGCUGCGGGCAUGGGACGGCUCUCGGUGCUGCCGGUGCUGCUGCUGCCCCUGCUGCCCGUGCUGGUGCUGUGGCAGCUCGGCGGAGCCCGGGCUGAGGGCACGUGUCCCAAGCCAGAGCGGCUGCAGAAUGCAGAGCUCAGUGAGAGCUCCAGGGAAAUCCAGGAUUUUCCACCUGGGACCAAAAUCUCCUUCAUCUGCCGGCCUGGAUACAUGAGGCUCCCAGGGAAGACACUGACCUGGACAUGUGGUGCUGACUUGCAAUGGUCACCCAAAGAGGUGUUCUGUACACCAAGAAAAUGUCGUUACCCAGGACCCUUAGAAAAUGGUUAUUUUGAUGCAACAGAUCUUACAUUUGGUUCAAAAUUGACAUUUCGUUGUAAUGAAGGAUACAGAUUACGGGGUAAGGAAGAGAUUUCCUGUGAUAUCCAGAAAGAAGAUGUUGGCUGGAGUGGAGCUCUGCCUUACUGUGAAAUAAUUCCUUGUGAGCCACCUCCCACAAUAGCCAACGGGGAGUACCAGGAGAGAGCCAGCUACGUGUACCAGAGCUCAGUGACCUACAGGUGUCUGGAUGUCCCCAGGGGCAGUGACCCCUUCUCCCUCGUUGGCACAGCCACCAUUCACUGCACAUCUGAUGCACACUCAAACGGAGUUUGGAGUGGGCCACCUCCAGAAUGUCGAGUGGUCAAAUGUGAAGACCCCAGAGUUGAAAAUGGGAGAAAAAAAUAUGGAUUUGGAUUGCCCUACAGAUACAAUGACUCAGUUAUGUUUGAGUGUAAUCAAGGCUAUUACAUGGUUGGAGCAGAUAUAAUUAUCUGUAAUGAAAAUAGUAUCUGGAAUCCUCCAAAACCAACCUGUGAGAAAAUUACUGCAGAUGUGUGUCCUGCCCCGAAGAUCCACAACGGGGUCCUGGUUCCAGGCAAGCCUGCCUACAGCAAAGGAGAGUCUGUGCAGAUCAGGUGCAAUGCUAAGUGCUCCUUCCCUGAUGGCUCUACAGAGGUGACAGUGACCUGUCAAGAACAGAGUUCCUGGGGUCCUUUACAGCACUGUGCCUGUGAGUUUGAAGGUUCUGGUUCCACACCAGUCAUAAGCUAUGGGAGAGUGAUAGCUGGACAAAAACCUUCCUACUUUGUGGGGGAUUUCAUUACCAUUGAAUGUUACACGGGGUACACCUUGCAAGGGGAGGCUCGGAUUCAGUACAUUGGAAACAACCAGUGGGUGCCUGCAGUGCCAACCUGCCAGCUCAGUGGAUAUAUUAUUGCCAUCAUCUGUGUGAUUGUGGUAGUUGUGGUGUUCCUGGCUGCCUUCUGGAUCUACAAGAAAUUCUUCUCACAGAAUGGCUCGUACACAGUUGAUGAGAGGUGCAAGGAAAUUUGUAUUUUAAAAGCUAAUGUCCCAGAUGAGAUGGAAGAAACUGCACAAAUGAAUUAAUGAAAAGAAGAGAAUAAAUGAAGGGUCUAACAAGGAUCUUUUGAAACCUUCUUAUGAAAAGGAAACGUGACAGCCCUCCCAGUUCUGCCGAAUAUAAGAUGUGUAAAGCAUGACUGCCCUUGCUGGGGGAGGGAGGGACUUUGCAGUGGGAUGUCCCUGUCAGAGCUGGCCAAGGAUUGAUUCCCUUGCACUGAGUGGCUGUCCAUGAGUUCCUUGUGCUGUGUCUUGCUCUGCUGGUGAACUGGAGGAGGAGGUGCUUGACAGGAUAAAAAGUGUGUGUGCAUUUAGCUAACACAGGUCCUGCUUUGCCUCCUGGGCCCCUCCCUGUCCUUCUGUGCACGUCAGCUGGGGGAAAGGCAAUACCUGUAGUGUGCCAGAGUCUGUGGGAGUGCUGCAAUGUCCCUGUCCCAGUGCCAGCUGCUGCCUGCUGCCUUCAGUGCCACCUCUUGGCUUACAGAUGUCCAAUAUUCUCCUCUCUCCUGUAGAGCUCUGCUCACUCAAUCCUGGCUGUCCUUCCCAUCCCUCUUUGCAGCAGAGGUGGUGUAAAUGGUUCUGUGGUUUCCUUUGUACUCUGAAAUGUGCUGUUGCUCAUUCCCUGAUGAGGCUGGUGCCAUUGAGGUCUUUUGGAAACUAUCACAAUUAAGAUUUUAUAUACUCUACCUCUUUGUCUGCCAAAGUUGGUUGCUGUAUAUAUAAUGAAUUAAAGUGUGCCUUGAAAUCAGAGUUUUAUAGCUUUUCCUUUGCUUCUGAGAAGGAAAAAAGCUAUAUAUGUAUUUCUGAUUCUUUGCUUUAAUCUCCCAAAGACUGCAGUGAGUUUGUUGGACCUGAAAACGGAAGGAUUCUGUAGCAAAGGCAUCCCCUGCCUGUUGACAGGAGAUCCCAAAUCAAAGGAACUGCUGAGAGCUCAGUGGUGGCUGUGUCCUGUCAUGAGCACAGUGGAAGUUCCUUAGGGUGCUCAGUUUUAGUGAGCCUUGAUGUCAGGUCUGCAGAUCUUCUGUUGCUUUCAAGGGUAGAAACAGGUGCUGUGUGAUCCACUUUCCUUGCUUUUUUACUUGAAAUCACAUAUUCCACAUUUCUGACCUCUGGCUGCAGACUGGGAUGUUAAAUCAAGCUCUGAAAAGCUGGAUUUAGCAUCAGAUCUUUUCCCUGUCACUCACUUUCCAUGUUAAAGGAAAACCAAACCAGUUCAGUUGUGUGAGUGCUGGUAGAUGUGGUGGUCUCUUGUUUGCUGCUUGGUGCUAGUUCAGCACAUGUUUUAGUCCAGAUUCUCCCACCACUGUGUUUGCCAUUAGUUUGGAGUCACUGCUACUUCUAAUUCCUCAGCAAAGCCCAAAUCUUAACUAGAACAGGUUUUAGCUCCAUGAAUCUCACUAUCAGCAUCCAGGCAGCUUCUGAUUUUCACAGAAAACCCAAAUAGCCUCACUUCAGAUGCCUGAGGCAGCAUUGAAAGUGCUCUGGCUUGUCUGUGGCUGCUUGGCACUGCUCUCCCUGUCAUCAACAGACUGUUGGAGUGGCACAGAGCUGUUUGGGGCUUUGGAGGGCUUUUUGGGACAAUCCCAGCAGUCGCAUUGUUGGAGCUCAUAAUAGGCUGUGGUUGUUGUUAGAAAGGGGCUUUGGCUCUGCGGAAGGAUUUGCUGCUCGUGGCCUGGCUGAUAGCUCAGCUUGAGAGUUGUUUGUAAACACUGGGAUGUGUGACUGGGACUGAGUGUGGUGCUGGUCAGGAGCUCAGCUUGCUUUGUGUGGCAUCUGCAAUGUGCUGAAAAACACUGGAAUGUUCUUAAUUGGGAAGUGAAAUCACUGUAAAAAGUGGCUGUGUUUUUGCUCUUCUUUCUGGAUGUAAAGAUUAGCCAUGAUUUGUAAUAUUCCAAAUAAAAAUGUUAAAUUAUUUAGCAGUAA